GUUGUUUCCUGGCUUCCGUACAACAACCACAGCUAUUCUGGGAGCCCUGAGGCUUCAUUUAAAGCAAUCUAUAAAAGACUCCCCAUCCCUCCAGGUCUCACAAAGGCUCUGACUCCUUGGCUUCACACUCUUUCCUGUACAACUGACCUGGUUCAUUUCAUAAGCAUUAGUGAUGUCUCAGCAGCAUCAACAGGAGUCCUUUCCCAAGUGCUCCACUUCUCCUUGCCCACCUCCAUGCCCGGCUAUCUGCUCAGAUUCUAGGUCAGGAGGUUGCUGUCUCACACACCCAAGGCCCAGGACACAGAGCUCCUGCUGCAGGGGAAGUCAAGGACAACCCCAUAGGGCCACACCUAGGAGGCCCCGAUGCCUCCAAGGGGAAACUUACUAUCACUGCAAAGAGGAGGAGUGCUAGGUGUCAGUGGUCCUAUGUGGAGGGACCCAGGUACCAGGACUGGGGUGUGAGGGAGAGGUGUGUUGAACAGUAGUGGAUAGUCAGGAUUCCUCUACUGGCUCCUUUAAAGAAGUUAGAUGAUAAUUAAAGAAAAAGAUGCCACAAAGCCAUUGGUUUUCUUCUUUUAGUAAAGGAGCAACCCUCAUUGCAAGGUCCGUAACGAGGAGAACUGGAUACAGAAGUUCAUCUGACUUUCUCUUCCUUUUCCUCUGGCUAAAUAAAAAUAAAUUUUUUCUGUUAUGAA
This is a long non-coding RNA of Monodelphis domestica (gray short-tailed opossum), 695 nucleotides long. RefSeq lists it as uncharacterized. Lineage: Eukaryota; Metazoa; Chordata; Mammalia; Didelphimorphia; Didelphidae. The record is from RefSeq and is a predicted model, not a curated record.